Molecule: long non-coding RNA, 423 nt
Organism: Fukomys damarensis (Damara mole-rat)
Lineage: Eukaryota; Metazoa; Chordata; Mammalia; Rodentia; Bathyergidae
Exons: 3
Source: RefSeq, a predicted model, not a curated record
GUACAGAUUCUCCCUGAUGGAGCCUAGCCUGACAGUGACCUCACAUCAUGCCAGCCUGCAGCUCAACUUCACUCUGCAAGGAGAAUGACUCCAGGUGGUUCGCACAAUGCGUCGAAGAGGAACUGAAUGUUAUACUGGAUGCCAGCCAUGCCUGUCUUCUGGCUCUUGUUGAAUGAUGCAAGUGAGAGGAUUUUCUGAGGACACUGAGGAAUUUUGACUCUCAUUUCUGGUGGCCUGGGGUACAGAGCCUCAACGACCUUCCUGAACAGAUCCCAGAAGUCAGCCAGCACGCCUGUAUUCUGGCUCCUGUUGAAAGAUGCAAGUGAGAGGAGUUUCUGAGGACACUGAGGAAUUGUGACUCUCAGUCCUCGUGUCUUGGGGUACAGGGCCUCAACAACCCUCCUGAACAGAUCCCAGAAGUCA